Alosa sapidissima (American shad) is the source of this 119-nucleotide long non-coding RNA. RefSeq lists it as uncharacterized. Lineage: Eukaryota; Metazoa; Chordata; Actinopteri; Clupeiformes; Clupeidae. The transcript has 3 exons. The record is from RefSeq and is a predicted model, not a curated record.
UAUUUGUAGUUUUAUGGUAAGUUAGCCACAACGUUCCCUAACGCGAUGGUUUUCUAAUGGAAAAUAUACCUGAAAGAUAACCUGUCUAUGAUGCAAACACCGGGCUGGGACAUUUCUGC